UGAAGAAUCUUGGGCAAUGGAAGAAAUUCUGACCCAGUGAGAAUACAUGCAUGAUGAAUGCGCACAGUUUUCUGUAAAGUGCUUUCGGUGAUGAAGAGAAUGAUCGUAGUCAUAGUAAGAAGCGCUGGCCAACUCCGUGCCAGCAGCCGCGGUAAUACGGAGAGCGCGGGCGUUAUUCGUUUUGAUUGGGUGUAAAGGGUACGUAGGUUGCUGUUGAUAAUUUCUGACCGAAAUCGCUGAGUGUUCCUAAGCGGUGGUCAUUUAAAGAUUCAGCUAGUGUUGAGGAUAGGUCGGGGCAAUUUCCUGUGUAGGGGUAGAAUCCUACCAUAUAGGAACGAACGCCAGAUUGCGAAGGCGCCUCUCUCGCCUCAACAGACGCUAAGGUACGGAAGCUUAGGGAGCAAACA
RNAcentral lists this ribosomal RNA (407 nucleotides) under uncultured bacterium. RNAcentral's name for it is "bacterial SSU rRNA". It matches the Rfam family "Bacterial small subunit ribosomal RNA", at positions 355 to 774 of the family's 1533-position model. The record is from RNAcentral.